AUCUCCUGUUGGUUGCUUAACUUCUAGAACAACCUGUAGUUUCUUGGACUUCCCCUGCUUUCCUGCCUCAACAUCUUGAUUCACUGUGUCUACAGGACUUUGUAGGUUACAGGAUUUAUCUGGAAACUCUCUUUCCAUUUGUGUAUAAAUGAAUCUCACUGGCUGCCACAGCUAUUUCUUGGAGGAAUAAAAGCAAACGCUUGGACACUGAGGAGUGGAUUGCCCAUCUGCCUUCUAUCAUUAAAGGACACGGCAACGCGACCCUCGCCAAAUGCUGUUGCCUGGAUCUUGGACUCCCUGGCCUCCGUAAUGGUGUUGUGUGGGGUGCUGGAUCGUCAGGGCAGAGGAAGAGCGAGAUGAGGGGAAACACUCAGAGUUCCACACAGCUGCUGUAACCAGAUACCUCAGCCACAAUUUUGUGAUUGAUAAAGGAUGAAAGAAGAUGAAAGAAGAACCUGGAAGAAAAGGAAUUACCAACAGUCAGCUUUCAGAAAUCAGUAGAAAGUUUUCAGAAACAAUGUUUGAUGCUUACUCUGGAAUGCUGGGAAACGAGGAGAAACACUAUGCUUUUCACAGCAUCACAGACGGUACUGGACCCUUCCUAUCAAUGGGACCAUUUCAGGGCUGCCACUUGGCCAGGGCAUCGCAGUGGGCUGUUGGAUCAGACCGAGAGGCACCAAUUCAAACGCCCCCGGCAAGAACCUAUGUCAGGUGGAUGGGAUGGUUAUAAACGGCAGAGCUAUGCCUGCUAUCAAGGAUUAGAAUGAAAAUAUCUGAGCAGCCUCAGCAGACAGUAGCUGGUGGCACCUCAGGAGACCGGAAAAGCCCUACCUGCCAGGACCCCUAGACCCAGCCCUUGCCUGUCUUGAAACAGCAAAGGGAGUGAUCUUGGGGACACCAGAACAGUCUGCUUGCAGAGAUUAGGAACAGGACAGCUUAUUCCAGUCAAACAGCGAGACUAAAAGUGAGUCUAAGGCUCCAGCCUCUCCAGAUUCCUCCUGGCCCACGCAUGAACAUGGUCUCCGUGGCCAUCGAUUCUUCUGAGCCCACCUCCUCCACGUGAGUACACACGCUUGUCUACCUAUGGUCUGUGAAAGUGCACAGACUUUGGGUCAAACAGAUUUGAGUGUAGAGUCUGGCUUAGAAUUCCAGACCCAGCUCUUCUUCACUGUGUGAUUUGGGGCAAAAUAACCUGGCCUCUGGAAGCCUGAGUUUUUCAUCUGUAAAAUGAAAGCAGCACUAUUUUUCACUACGAUGUGCCAGCACACCACCCAUCUAGACCCUAAACAAGGUGGACCCCAGCUGGCUCCCUGGUGACCAGCUCCAAAAUGCCUUCCUUUGGACUUCACGUUCUGUGAGAGAACGCAAACCCUGACAUCUGGUUUCAUCCAGUUCCUUAGCUUUUCAGUGACAGGCAGCUGAACUCAAUUGUUAAUUGACUGAUCUCCAUUGCAUAGGGUUACUGUGAAGCGCAUAUGAGAUCACAGCUGUUAAAGUGCCAAACCACGUGACUUAUUUAGGACUCCUGACUUUCCUAAUGUUGCAUGGAGGAUAUUUAAUCAUAAAACAGUUAAAUCUGGCAUAGUGGGCUACCAAGAAGAAGGCAGGGUUCCGCUUACCAUACUGAGAGAGGGAUUGAGGCAGAAACUCCCUGGAACUAUGGGCAGCAACAAAGGAGGGAGGGCAGGUCACCUGUGCAGAAGAACAUGCACACACACAGGCAUGCACACAUAUUUGUACACGGGCACACUCAUCUGCACACACACAUGCACGCAUACGUGCACACCCUCCAGCACACAUGUGUUCAGAUCAUGCUCUCAUUUACACGUGCACACGGGCAUGCACACUCAUGCACAUGUACUGUUGACUCUAUCUUGAGCUUACACAUCAAAGCCACGAUCUGGUUCAGUACUUACUUGUUUAUUGAUAUUCCAUUUAGCAUUUACCAAGUACCUUCUAUGUAACUUGGCUAGGCAGUCUUUUUUUCUCAAACAAAAUCCAGUACAAAUCCUCCCUCAUCCAUGAAAUCUUUCUGGAUUCUCCAAUGGGAUUGAACUAAUCCUCAUAGAACUUUCCAUGUGCCCCUGCUUGUCACGAAUUUCAUUUACCUUCAGAGUAAAAUUGUUGCACAUACUUCUGUUUCCUUAAGUGGCUGUGGGAGCUGACAUUCUAGGCCCCAGUGAAAAGGUCUGGUCCUGAAACUGCGUCUCAGUUCUUGGCUUGAGAAAAGCACAGCUGGUUAGAAGUGCUUACACCACGGAGGCAUGAAGAGGACGUGAGGGUGGCUCAUUUUAAAAGCAAUGCGUUUAUCUUAUCUUCCAGUGCAGAGAGAGAGAGAAUCCCCUGCUUAGAGCACAGAAGCUGGUGCACCGUCCUGUGCCGCAUUGUCCUCUGGCUGCCUGCCUGGGGAGACCCCUCUCCCCUCUCCUUCCUGAACGCAGGCACGAGGAUUUGUACAUACGUGCACAUAAAUAUGGUAUUUCCCAGAGGGCCUGGCAUAAACAUUCUUAAUAUGUGCUUGUUAUAUUGCAGUGAACUAACACCCACAGUCAGUCAGGAAACAAAGUGCAUUGCAUGUUACCUGGGGAACAGUCAGCAGAACCUUGAUUUUACCUGGAGAGUCUGGGGCUGCACUUUUGGCACGUGGGAGUUCCCACAGCUACCAGUCCAGGAAUCCCAGGGUGACUGCCAUUUUCCAAGGGUUACAUCCCCCAAAUAUGUCACAAAACAUGUUUAAACAAAUACCUUGGCUUCUGCUUUUUUAUCUAUACAACAGUUCUCAACAUGGCCACAGAUUAGAAUCAAUCCUGAUGCCUUUUUAGAGUGUACAUUACCAGAGCCCCCAGGCUGACCGAGCCAGAACCAUGCCUGAGGCCAUAGCACGUCAGUGGUCUCAGAGCACACGGGAGAUUCCGUGGCACCCUUAGGCCAUAGCACGUCAGUGGUCUCAGAGCACACGGGAGAUUCUGUGGGCCCCCGAGGCCAUAGCACGUCAGUGGUCUCAGAGCACACGGGAGAUUCCGUGGCACCCUGAGGCCAUAGCACGUCAGUGGUCUCAGAGCACAUGGGAGAUUCUGGGCCCCCUGAGGCUGUAGCACGUCAGUGGUCUCAGAGCACACGGGAGAUUCCGUGGCACCCUGAGGCCAUAGCACGUCAGUGGUCUCAGAGCACAUGGGAGAUUCCGGGCCCCCUGAGGCCGUAGCACGUCAGUGGUCUCAGAGCACACGGGAGAUUCCAUGGCCCCCUGAGGCCAUAGCACGUCAGUGGUCUCAGAGCACACGGGAGAUUCCGUGUCACCGUGAGGCCAUGCACGUCAGUGGUCUCAGAGCACACGGGAGAUUCUGUGGGCCCCCGAGGCCAUAGCACGUCAGUGGUCUCAGAGCACACAGGAGAUUCCGUGGCACCCUGAGGCCAUAGCACAUCAGUGGUCUCAGAGCACAUGGGAGAUUCCGGGCCCCCUGAGGCCGUAGCACGUCAGUGGUCUCAGAGCACACGGGAGAUUCCAUGGCCCCCUGAGGCCAUAGCACGUCAGUGGUCUCAGAGCACACGGGAGAUUCCGUGUCACCGUGAGGCCAUGCACGUCAGUGGUCUCAGAGCACACGGGAGAUUCUGUGGGCCCCCGAGGCCAUAGCACGUCAGUGGUCUCAGAGCACACGGGAGAUUCCGUGGCACCCUGAGGCCAUAGCACAUCAGUGGUCUCAGAGCACAUGGGAGAUUCCGGGCCCCCUGAGGCCGUAGCACGUCAGUGGUCUCAGAGCACACGGGAGAUUCCGUGGCACCCUGAGGCCAUAGCACGUCAGUGGUCUCAGAGCACACGGGAGAUUCCGUGGGCCCCCUGAGGCCAGAGCACGUCAGUGGUCUCAGAGCACACGGGAGAUUCCGUGGCCCCCUGAGGCCAGAGCACGUCAGUGGUCUCAGAGCACACGGGAGAUUCCGUGGCCCCCUGAGGCCAUAGCACGUCAGCGGUCUCAGAGCACACGGGAGAUUCUGUGGCCCCCUGGCUAGAACACUGGACCAGAUGGUCUGCAGGUUCUCCUCUGAGUCUGAUGGUCUUGUCUAUGUUAAAAUGUCUCGGCCGGGCACGGUGGCUCACGCCUGUAAUCCCAGCACUUUGGGAGGCCGAGGCAGGUGGAUCAUGA
This is a long non-coding RNA of Homo sapiens (human), 4139 nucleotides long. RefSeq lists it as uncharacterized. NCBI's taxonomy places the organism in Eukaryota, Metazoa, Chordata, Mammalia, Primates, Hominidae. The record is from RefSeq and is a predicted model, not a curated record. The transcript is spliced from 5 exons.